UACGGGAGGCAGCAGUGGGGAAUAUUGCACAAUGGGCGCAAGCCUGAUGCAGCCAUGCCGCGUGUAUGAAGAAGGCCUUCGGGUUGUAAAGUACUUUCAGUCGUGAGGAAGGUGUUAAGGUUAAUAACCUUAGCAAUUGACGUUAGCGACAGAAGAAGCACCGGCUAACUCCGUGCCAGCAGCCGCGGUAAUACGGAGGGUGCGAGCGUUAAUCGGAAUUACUGGGCGUAAAGGGCACGCAGGCGGUUAAUUAAGUUGGAUGUGAAAUCCCCGGGCUUAACCUGGGAAUGGCAUUCAAGACUGGUUAGCUAGAGUCUUGUAGAGGGGGUAGAAUUCCAUGUGUAGCGGUGAAAUGCGUAGAGAUGUGGAGGAAAUACCGGUGGGCGAAAGGCGGGCCCCCUGGGACAAAAGGACUGACGCUCAUGUGCGAAAAGCGUGGGGAGCAAACAGGGAUUAGAUACC
This 462-nucleotide ribosomal RNA is filed under the name uncultured bacterium. RNAcentral describes it as "bacterial SSU rRNA". It matches the Rfam family "Bacterial small subunit ribosomal RNA", at positions 340 to 786 of the family's 1533-position model. The record is from RNAcentral.